GCUGCUAUUUUCAUUAUAGAUAGAUACAUAUAAUGUGAGCAGGAUCUCCCUGUUACACCCCCAAACAAUUUGGUGAUAAAAUAUCACAUAAAAUAAUGUGUACACAAUCAGACAAUUCGGCCUGGAUCCCGACACUGACUUCCCUUUGUUGAAUUUACGACUUGGUUCUGAAACUGUCGGUUUUGAUGGCCAAGUUUUGUGGCACCCACACACCUGGAGUCGACUUGGUCAUUGAACUGCCCUUCGGAUAGUCCUUGCCUUGGCU
Molecule: non-coding RNA, 265 nt
Organism: Cinara cedri
Lineage: Eukaryota; Metazoa; Arthropoda; Insecta; Hemiptera; Aphididae
Source: the annotation of a GenBank genome assembly